UGGGGAAUAUUGGACAAUGGGGGGAACCCUGAUCCAGCCAUGCCGCGUGUGUGAAGAAGGCCUUAUGGUUGUAAAGCACUUUAAGCGAGGAGGAGGCUACUUUAGUUAAUACCUAGAGAUAGUGGACGUUACUCGCAGAAUAAGCACCGGCUAACUCUGUGCCAGCAGCCGCGGUAAUACAGAGGGUGCGAGCGUUAAUCGGAUUUACUGGGCGUAAAGCGCACGCAGGCGGUCUGUCAAGUCGGAUGUGAAAUCCCCGGGCUCAACCUGGGAACUGCAUUCGAAACUGGCAGGCUAGAGUCUUGUAGAGGGGGGUAGAAUUCCAGGUGUAGCGGUGAAAUGCGUAGAGAUCUGGAGGAAUACCGGUGGCGAAGGCGGCCCCCUGGACAAAGACUGACGCUCAGGUGCGAAAGCGUGGGGAGCAAACAGGAUUAGAUACCCUGGUAGUCCACGCCGUAAACGAUGUCGAUUUGGAGGUUGUGCCCUUGAGGCGUGGCUUCCGGAGCUAACGCGUUAAAUCGACCGCCUGGGGAGUACGGCCGCAAGGUUA
This 550-nucleotide ribosomal RNA is filed under the name uncultured bacterium. RNAcentral's name for it is "bacterial SSU rRNA". It matches the Rfam family "Bacterial small subunit ribosomal RNA", at positions 355 to 896 of the family's 1533-position model. The record is from RNAcentral.